GCGCAUGCACUUAAGAGGCAGCGCUGGGGCAGCACUGGGUACUGGCAAGAUGUCGACGGCAGUGGUCCCUGAGUUGAAGCAGAUCAGCAGAGUGGAGGCGAUGCGCCUGGGGCCAGGCUGGAGCCACUCGUGCCACGCCAUGCUGUAUGCUGCAAACCCCGGGCAGCUCUUUGGCCGCAUCCCCAUGCGCUUCUCGGUGCUGAUGCAGAUGCGUUUCGACGGGCUGCUGGGCUUCCCCGGGGGAUUCGUGGACCGACGCUUCUGGUCGCUGGAGGACGGACUGAACCGAGUUCUGGGCCUGGGCCUGGGCUGCCUGCGCCUCACAGAGGCCGACUAUUUGAGCUCGCACCUGACCGAGGGCCCGCACCGCGUCGUGGCGCACCUGUACGCGCGGCAGCUGACCCUGGAACAGCUGCACGCCGUGGAGAUCAGUGCGGUGCACUCGCGCGACCACGGCCUGGAGGUGCUGGGGCUCGUGCGGGUCCCACUGUACACCCAGAAGGACCGAGUCGGUGGCUUUCCCAACUUCCUGAGUAAUGCUUUCAUCAGCACAGCCAAGUACCAGCUCCUCUUUGCCCUCAAGGUGCUCAACAUGAUGCCCGAGGAGAAGCUGGCUGAGGCCUUGGCUGCGGCCACGGAGAAGCAGAAGAAAGCCCUAGAGAAGCUGCUCCCAUCUUCCUCCUGAGGUUGCGCUCACAGUCUGCAGGCAGCUCUGGGAGGUAGUCUGGCAGCACUGGCCGAGUGUGUGGAAUGACAGCAUAAGAGCCACGUGGGACAGGAAGGUCACCACUGGCAGUCUCCUACAGCCUUAUGUCUGGAAAGACUCCUCAGUGAAGCUACCAGUUUCCACAGUGCCAACCUGGCCUGCACGUGAGCUGCCCUGCUCCCUGCCUUCACUGUCCUGUCUCCCACCCUGGCUGCUGCUCGUGGACUCUGGGCGUCUGUCUCCACGGCUGCGUCCUUCACUGCAGGUCGCUCUCGGUGAGGGUCAGGAAGAUGCGGAGGUCCACGUCCUGCUCCUCGAACACCUGCAGGUACUUUAGACAGCCGAUCUGCUCCAGCAGCGUGGCCAGGUCCUAGGGGGCAAGGAGCCAGCGUGGUG
Molecule: RNA transcript, 1102 nt
Organism: Camelus dromedarius (Arabian camel)
Lineage: Eukaryota; Metazoa; Chordata; Mammalia; Artiodactyla; Camelidae
Gene: NUDT16L1
Gene name: nudix hydrolase 16 like 1
Exons: 6
Source: RefSeq, a predicted model, not a curated record